AGCAGCCGCGGUAAUUCCAGCUCCAAUAGCGUAUAUUAAAGUUGUUGCAGUUAAAAAGCUCGUAGUUGAAUUUCGGGGUUCUACCGUUGGUCGGGCAAUAGUCUGUACUGGCGUGUAGAAUUUCUACCUUCUGGGGAACUAUUAUGUUAUUUAUUUAGCGUGGUAGGAAACCAGGACCUUUACCUUGAAAAAAUUAGAGUGUUCAAAGCAGGCUUACGUCUGAAUACAUUAGCAUGGAAUAAUAAAAUAGGACGGUGGUCCUGUUUUGUUGGUUUCUGAAUCACCGUAAUGAUUAAUAGGGAUAGUUGGGGCAUUAGUAUUCAAUUGUCAGAGGUGAAAUUCUUGGAUUUAUUGAAGACUAACUUCUGCGGAAGCAUUUGCCAAGGAUGUUUUCAUUAAUCAAGAACGAAAGUUAGGGGAUCGAAGACGAUCAGAUACCGUCGUAGUCUUAACCAUAAACUAUGCCGACUAGGGAUCGGACGAUGUUAA
This 489-nucleotide ribosomal RNA is filed under the name uncultured Gigaspora. Its description in RNAcentral is "SSU rRNA". It matches the Rfam family "Eukaryotic small subunit ribosomal RNA", at positions 569 to 1066 of the family's 1831-position model. Lineage: Eukaryota; Fungi; Glomeromycota; Glomeromycetes; Diversisporales; Gigasporaceae. The record is from RNAcentral.